Non-coding RNA from Potamilus streckersoni, 67 nucleotides. Lineage: Eukaryota; Metazoa; Mollusca; Bivalvia; Unionida; Unionidae. The record is from the annotation of a GenBank genome assembly.
GAGGCCUAGUGGUUAGAGCGUCCGCCUAGGUUGCGGGAGGUCGUGGGUUCAAACCCUGGCUGAGUCA